This is a long non-coding RNA of Haliotis rubra (blacklip abalone), 88 nucleotides long. RefSeq lists it as uncharacterized. The transcript is spliced from 3 exons. Lineage: Eukaryota; Metazoa; Mollusca; Gastropoda; Lepetellida; Haliotidae. The record is from RefSeq and is a predicted model, not a curated record.
AGUGCCCAAGUGUUGUAUAACAGAGUGGCUGUAGUGCCCAAGUGUUGUAUAACAGAAUGGCUGUAGUAGGCUAUACGAAACUUUAUUU